This 190-nucleotide unclassified non-coding RNA is filed under the name uncultured Atheliaceae. RNAcentral describes it as "sequence contains ITS1". The record is from RNAcentral. Lineage: Eukaryota; Fungi; Basidiomycota; Agaricomycetes; Atheliales; Atheliaceae.
UUGAAAUUACUGGCGAGGGUUGUAGCUGGCCUUUCGGGGCAACGUGCACGCCUGAGCCUUUAAUCCACAUACACCUGUGAACCCAAUGUAAGGGCCCGUAAAAAAGGCCCCUACGUCUCAUCAACCCCAUCGUAUGUCUCAUAGAAUGUAAAUCAAUGUCCUCGCCUAAAAAGCGUUGAUAAAACAUAUA